RNAcentral lists this transfer RNA (72 nucleotides) under Myotis brandtii (Brandt's bat). It matches the Rfam family "tRNA". Rfam says of the family: Transfer RNA (tRNA) molecules are approximately 80 nucleotides in length. Their secondary structure includes four short double-helical elements and three loops (D, anti-codon, and T loops). The record is from Rfam by way of RNAcentral. Lineage: Eukaryota; Metazoa; Chordata; Mammalia; Chiroptera; Vespertilionidae.
GCUCGUUUGGCUCAGUGGAAGAGCAUCAGGCUGCAGACUGAAGGGUCCUGGGUUCAAUUCCAGUCAAGGGCA